GCCUGAGUGACUCAGUAUGUAAAGCAUCUGACUUUGGCUCAGAUCAUGAUCUCACGGUUCAUGGGUUCGAGUCCCACAUCGGGCU
This 85-nucleotide transfer RNA is filed under the name Felis catus (domestic cat). It matches the Rfam family "tRNA". Rfam says of the family: Transfer RNA (tRNA) molecules are approximately 80 nucleotides in length. Lineage: Eukaryota; Metazoa; Chordata; Mammalia; Carnivora; Felidae. The record is from Rfam by way of RNAcentral.